This 1391-nucleotide ribosomal RNA is filed under the name uncultured bacterium. RNAcentral's name for it is "16S ribosomal RNA". It matches the Rfam family "Bacterial small subunit ribosomal RNA". The record is from RNAcentral.
UUCGCCCUUAGAGUUUGAUCCUGGCUCAGGAUGAACGCUGGCGGCGUGCUUAACACAUGCAAGUCGAACGGGAAACCUUUUAUUGAAGCUUCGGCAGAUUUAGAUUGUUUCUAGUGGCGGACGGGUGAGUAACGCGUGGGUAACCUGCCUUAUACAGGGGGAUAACAGUCAGAAAUGACUGCUAAUACCGCAUAAGCGCACAGAGCUGCAUGGCUCGGUGUGAAAAACUCCGGUGGUAUAAGAUGGACCCGCGUUGGAUUAGCUAGUUGGUGAGGUAAUGGCCCACCAAGGCGACGAUCGGUAGCCGGACUGAGAGGUUGAACGGCCACAUUGGGACUGAGACACGGCCCAGACUCCUACGGGAGGCAGCAGUGGGGAAUAUUGCACAAUGGGGGAAACCCUGAUGCAGCGACGCCGCGUGGAGGAAGAAGGUCUUCGGAUUGUAAACUCCUGUUGUUGAGGAAGAUAAUGACGGUACUCAACAAGGAAGUGACGGCUAACUACGUGCCAGCAGCCGCGGUAAAACGUAGGUCACAAGCGUUGUCCGGAAUUACUGGGUGUAAAGGGAGCGCAGGCGGGAAGACAAGUUGGAAGUGAAAUCUAUGGGCUCAACCCAUAAACUGCUUUCAAAACUGUUUUUCUUGAGUAGUGCAGAGGUAGGCGGAAUUCCCGGUGUAGCGGUGGAAUGCGUAGAUAUCGGGAGGAACACCAGUGGCGAAGGCGGCCUACUGGGCACCAACUGACGCUGAGGCUCGAAAGUGUGGGUAGCAAACAGGAUUAGAUACCCUGGUAGUCCACACCGUAAACGAUGAUUACUAGGUGUUGGAGGAUUGACCCCUUCAGUGCCGCAGUUAACACAAUAAGUAAUCCACCUGGGGAGUACGACCGCAAGGUUGAAACUCAAAGGAAUUGACGGGGGCCCGCACAAGCAGUGGAGUAUGUGGUUUAAUUCGACGCAACGCGAAGAACCUUACCAAGUCUUGACAUCCCUUGACGAACAUAGAAAUAUGUUUUCUCUUCGGAGCAAGGAGACAGGUGGUGCAUGGUUGUCGUCAGCUCGUGUCGUGAGAUGUUGGGUUAAGUCCCGCAACGAGCGCAACCCUUACUGUCAGUUACUACGCAAGAGGACUCUGGCAGGACUGCCGUUGACAAAACGGAGGAAGGUGGGGAUGACGUCAAAUCAUCAUGCCCUUUAUGACUUGGGCUACACACGUACUACAAUGGCGUUAAACAAAGAGAAGCAAGACCGCGAGGUGGAGCAAAACUCAGAAACAACGUCCCAGUUCGGACUGCAGGCUGCAACUCGCCUGCACGAAGUCGGAAUUGCUAGUAAUCGUGGAUCAGCAUGCCACGGUGAAUACGUUCCCGGGCCUUGUACACACCGCCCGUCA